AACACAUGGUCACCUGAAAAUGGACUCCAACAUGAUUUGCUCGAGUCUGCCAUCUCAGCCGUACCCAUUCCUUGCGAGCCGCUGGACAGCACGCAACACAGAUCACUUCAAUCAACAACACCCAGGAUGCGAACUCAGCCAUGCUCUUCAUACCCUGCACCAGCCAGCACUACUGUGGACAGAUAAGCAAGCUGUCCAGCUACCCCAGCAAGCUCUCAAACAGUCUCCCUGUGAAGAAGACAGACCCAGGUCUCUGGGUAGGAGGCUGCCAACUUUUUGGAAAAGGCCUUUGCUGCAACUACUGUGUGGGCCUCCGCAAAGGCGAGGGUGACAGGAACAGCAAGGUUUCAUGGGAGACAUCACCAACAGUAACAGUUUUAAACAUUC
This 387-nucleotide long non-coding RNA is filed under the name Mus spretus (western wild mouse). RNAcentral's name for it is "lncRNA (ENSMSPG00010018844.1)". The record is from RNAcentral. Lineage: Eukaryota; Metazoa; Chordata; Mammalia; Rodentia; Muridae.